GCUCGUGAACCUGAGCUUUGUGUUGUCAUGGUCAGUACAGUUGUUAUGCCUAAAGCCACUCUGGCUGGAGCUGCAUCCAUAUUGAUCCAAAAUGACACCCAGGAGAGAAUCACGAUCAAGAGACUUGGCAUCCCAGCAGAGUGUCUCCAGGACAGGCUGCCUACAGAUUAUGGUUGCAAAGAACACAGUAGUUUUGGACUGUGCCCUAAAUUCCAAGCAAGAAAACACAGGGAGGACUUUUCAGAUCUAAUUAAUCUGGCUUCAGCUUUGGAGAAAUUACAUGUCCCUGAAGAUGCUUUUGCUGUAACACCAGAAGGUAUUUUUUGCUAAAUGAAAAGUUGUGUUUAUGUGAGAUUAUUCAUUUGUCCAGAUGACCUUUUAGUGCUACAUGUUUCAUGUUGUUGUUAAUAUAUUUUCUAUGUUUGCACUUAGAAUAUCAGUGGUUUCUGUGACUGACUGAAUAACAGUAGAAAUCUUAAAUGAAAAUGUGUAUUUGAAAUCAAUCUAUGUUUAAUCUCCUCAGGGAAAUAUAAGGGAUCAAAGAGGAAUUCCAUACUAACUUUCUUCUCAGUCUUCCAUCUGUUGGGAGGUAUACAUGACAUUGUCUAGAGUAGGGUAAAUAGGGUAAAAUAAAAAGAACCAACACUGAAAUAGCUUACAUCCCAAAUUGCAACAAACCAUCUACCAUCAAAAUACACCACUACAUCAACAAUCUAAUGUUAAUGUCUGACUCAACAGAGGCAUUAGAGAAGGCAGUAACUUCACUAACUAUUUACAGGAGAAACUGUGAGGUAUAAACCCAUGGAAAGUACAAGGACCAGAGCUGUCAGUUAAAUUACUAGGUGUUGUCUGGUCCAGUAAUGCCAGGGUCUUACCCAGCUGUGAUCUUAGCUAAGGUUCAAAUGUUCCAAGUUCCCAUGACAGCGGAGCAGUUGCAGGAGUUUUUGGGUAAAUUAAGAUACUGGCAAUCCUUUAUACCCUACUUAGUACAACCUCUAAAACCUCUGUAAUGACUAACAAAAAGAGGCCAAGUAUGUGAUUGGAGUAGAACAAAACAAGAAACCUUCCAGCAGAAAAAAAUAGCCAUUAAACAGGCCCAGGAGCUGGGUAUAUUUGAUGAAACCCUUCCAGCUGAUCUAGAUGUGAAUGCAAUUCAAGAAGGGUUUGGCUGGGUGUUGCUGAAACAGCAGGAGCUUACCCCCAACCUGCUCAAUCAUUGGUUCAGGCUGUGAAGGGUUGGAGUGCAAUGGAGUUAGGCCAUGGAGUAGGUCACAGCCUGAACCAAUGGUUGAACACUAGGUGAGAAGACAUGGCUAACCCAGGGAGCUCAGGUGCAAGCAAUGCACCUAAGCGACCAGAAGGGCUGGAUCCAGGAUCCACCUCUCCUCACCUUCAUUUAAGCGUUAGCAGCUGAGGGAGGAGCUUCUCUUUGGAUAGAGAUUGCACUCCUGUCAAGCUAUCCCUGGUUGUUGGAAGAGUGUGAUAGUGCUGCUGAAGUAAUGGGCUUUUCAUUGCUGUGAAAGAAAGCAGUCAGAGAAAGAAGAAUCAAAUGAAGCAAGCAUAGGUCAAGGAAGUCGAAGCAGCAGAUACUGUAUUAUCAAUCCAGCAGUAGAUGGAGAGAUGGACUUUGUGAAUGCUGAGUUUGAAUGAGUGGCUACAGCCACUCAGCCUUCAGCACUAGCUAGAGGUAGUGGAGUAUUUUCCAGUGAGAAGUGGAAGUGACAGCUAGGACUGUAAACUACUAGUUUGUUUUUUUUUUUAAUGAAGAAUCUUGGGGAUUUAUUCAAUGUUUAACAUUCUAUUGUUGCUGUUGCUCAUUAAUGAAAAUGUUUGUUCAGUUAUUAUCUAUUGGCAAAGAGUGCUGAAGUGCUUUAGUGUUCUGUCAAACUGAAUGAGGAAAAACCUGCUGCAGAUUAGGAAAGCAGAAUUGUCAGUGUUUGCUUAAGUCUGUAUACAGUUAUCUUCAAAUAAUUAUAUUUGCAGCUAUGUAACUGCAUCUUCAGGCACCAGAAUAAAAUAGGGUCAGCAAACAGCAAUCUGCCCUGCAAUGAGAACACGUUGUCAGUCUCCACCUGAAGCUUCUGUAAAAGAGAUAAGAGUGCCUAUCUUACAUUUGUCACAGCCUGCAGAAACACUGUUCUUGCUCGUUGGGAAGCAGGAGAGAUUAUCUCUUCUGUUAGCAUUAAGUAAUAUAAUUCUGUGUAGAAUCUUUGACUGCACCAUGCAGGUCUGAAGUUGGUUAUAAGUCUCACUUACGGAUUGCUAUUAAGAUUCAGAUGAUCUGUUUAUAUUGGUUGGGAAAGCUAAAUGAAGCCAGCAGUAUUUAUUACUUAUGAGUCGUAUUCUCUGUAUUGCGUAAGAUCCCAUCAAAUUUCAGCUCCAAGUUCCACAACUGUUACAGAUCUUGGCUGUGACUCAGGCAUCAAGUCUUGAUGAGAUAAAUAUGAAACCUAAUCCAAUUCAUCUUCUUCCAGAAAAAUCUUGAAAUGAAAUGUGGGUCACAACCACAAAAAUGAAUCCAGCUUACAAAUCAGAACAACUGAAAUGGCAAUCUUAGCCUUUCAUUGUGGAAAUCUCCUGAUACAUUAUGCUUCUAAAUUCUCUUUUUAAGGCAUCUGUUUCAGCAAAAAGAACUACACCUAUUUUCUCUUUGUGCCCAUUAUAGUGCUGCUGUCAAUGCAAAUACUUGUUUGAAAUUGUUAUUUUUGCACAUAUGAAUUGUUCAU
Long non-coding RNA from Numida meleagris (helmeted guineafowl), 2726 nucleotides. RefSeq lists it as uncharacterized. The transcript has 5 exons. The record is from RefSeq and is a predicted model, not a curated record. NCBI's taxonomy places the organism in Eukaryota, Metazoa, Chordata, Aves, Galliformes, Numididae.